RNAcentral lists this long non-coding RNA (685 nucleotides) under Gossypium raimondii (Peruvian cotton). Its description in RNAcentral is "long non-coding RNA (GRAI_LNC009695)". Lineage: Eukaryota; Viridiplantae; Streptophyta; Magnoliopsida; Malvales; Malvaceae. The record is from RNAcentral.
AUUGGUGUCAUCUGGUAUCUCAAUACUUGCUGCAUUUUCUUCCAUUAGAAAGAUUGGUUAUUUGUGAGAUACGUUUUUCUUAUAUCCUUUGCUUUUGUGUUGAUGUAAGACGAAGGAAUGACAGAUCUUUGUGAAUGCCACUGCUGAAUUGGAGCUUUAGCCAUACAAGGAGGAACACCUGAGCUGUAAGAGCUUCAAUUUGUUUUACUGAAUGCUUGCUUUAUACAAGUGUUUGAACUGAUAUUUGGUGAAAAUGCAAGUUGUCAACAGAGUUGUCUACACAAAUGCAGAGUAAUCUUUUGAGGCCCUUUCUAGGUUCUGGCAAUUCAGUCUUGGUGGAGAAGUAAGUUACCUUUGACUUUGACUUCUUAUUAUGAUUUUAGGUUCAUAUGAUGAUUUUCAGCAUCCUUAAUCUUUUUUUUCCCAUAUUUAUCAAUGGGAUUAUAUAAAUCCAAAAUUUGCAACAGAUCUCAAAACUUGUGAGAUGAACACAUGGAGCUGGAGGCAACCUUUGACAGUUUUCAUUCUCAAGCUAGAUUGAGUUAGUUUCAUGGUAGAGGCAUUGGAGUUUGGGCUGAAAUUUCUUUGUAUGUUACUGCCUCUCAUGUUGUUUGAGCUUUGCAGUGAAGAGAUAUUAAGAUUCAUACUUGAAUUCUUUUUGGCAAUUGACUUGUUAUUGGAUGGU